Non-coding RNA from Misgurnus anguillicaudatus (oriental weatherfish), 4003 nucleotides. Lineage: Eukaryota; Metazoa; Chordata; Actinopteri; Cypriniformes; Cobitidae. The record is from RefSeq and is a predicted model, not a curated record.
UUUUCUAUAACAGUUUUUCUUACAGUAUAUAUUGUAUAUUUUGAAGAUUAAUUUCAAAAUAAAUUUAUUUUUAAAGCAUUUAUAUUUAUAUUGCAUGUGAGACAAGUUUUGAAUAUCUUAAAAUAAAUUAUGUUUUCAAUUGCAAAAUACUUAUACUUAUAGAUGGGUUGCUCGGCGACGUUAUAACUGUUUGCCCGCGCAACCGAGAGGCAGAAAGAAGAGCCGUGCUUUGUGUUGUACGCUAGUAGCGGUGUCUGUAAGUCAAAAUGCCAAGGAGUUGUUGCAUGGAUAAUAGUACCAACAGAGCCAGUGCUGGGCAAGGCUUUGAACCGGUUCACGGAACGAAAACGAAAACCAGAAACUUUUGAUGUUUUGCAAGGAACAGAAACGAAACCAGAAACUUUCAAAAAAUAUAUGUUCUGGAACAGAAAAGUUUAUUGAAAAUAAUGGUAACCGGUUAAUAACGUUAUUUUUUCAGUUCUUUGACAAGAUUUCUGUGUAAUGACUUGUAGAAGUUCACUUCCGGUCAUUGCUGACUCAUACAGUACUGACUCAUACUCAUACAAGUACAGUGUUCUCUCUCUUUGUGUUCAGCGCCUCAGCAGCCCCUCCUCUGUUGCAUGCAGCGCGCCUCUCUCACAUAACAGUGAAAGGUAUUUUAACUCCGCUCCUCCUAGUACUUUAUUUUUCGCGUAAACGUCAACAGUCACGGAUGUUACUGACAGAGAAGACGGCUGAUCGAGUUCAUAAUGAGUGACUUAAAGCUAUGGUCUACGAUUUCAAAGAUUGUUCAUUAUUAAUAAACUCGUUUAGAUGCUGGUUAUGGUUCUACAGUAAAAUCCUAACAAUAUGAAGAGAAAAAAUCAUUAAAAAAAUCCAUUCAGUCUAUUGGGUGUACGGCGGCAGAUAAGUUGACCAAUGUAAACAGUCCGGCCGGACAGCUUACAUUGGUUAACUGCUCUCAUCAAAGCCCCGUACACUUGAAAAUCCACCUCGCGCUCGCGUCUCCACCCCAUCGCACACCACCCCGCUCCUCUCCUGCCUGCGACAUGAAAUUUGUGUCAGUGUAUGUUAGCUAGCGAAGCAGCAACAUCUCACUAAUGGAAAAAAACUAACCGACAGCAGCAAGCUUCUUGUCCCUACAGUAAAGGUUGGAAGAAAAAGGAAGUCUGUAGAGGAAAGAGCAGAGGUAAAAAAAAGUGUGAAAAACGCCGGACUCUAAGCAGAAUCAAUAUAGGGUCCGCCAUUGACCGUUGGAGGACGCUUCAGGGAGAUUUGGGGCCGAAAACCGACGCCGACACGGCGGACUUUUUGUUGAACAGGUACGCAUUUAUUUAUACUUUUAUUGUGUGAGGUGUUACAUAAAUAUCUUUUUAUCAGUCUGACAUGCUCAUGCUGCCGGUCGGCAUUGGAAUGUUAGCCGUUUAGCAUCGUGUAUCACGGGUCAAUGUAAUUAAAUUUACAAAGAUUGUGUGUGGUGUUACAUAAAUAUCUUUUUAUCCGUCUGACAACAUGCUCAUGCUGUCGGUCGGCAUUGGAAUGUUACCCGUUUAGCAUUGCGUAUCACGGGUCAAAGUAAUUAUAUUUACAAACUCAUUUCUUGAAGUGCUUUAAUAUACUUCAAUAGGCCCAACGUUAGAGGGUUUCUGUUCGAGCUGAUCGGAAUUUGAACAAGAUGCGCUGUGUGCUGCUAUAACAAUUACUCAAAACCUUAGCAAUACUAACUAAUAAUUAUUGUGCAAUCAAUGUGCGCUUGGUAGCACCAGUGGAAACGAGGCUCAGGAGGGGAAACGUAUGCCAAACGUUGUUGUGAAAUUAAAUAACCGCAAUCAUGCAUAAUUGUAAGUGUUCAUUUCUUUAAGGCUUUAUGUGUUUACUGCUCGGUAAAUCUCUGUUCCGAUGUUUACUACCGGUGAUCACAGCUUGACUGAGUGACGUUGUUCAGGUCGUUUCCCGGUGGGAGGGAUCAGGUAGCACAGAGGGGCGGGAUGAGUUUUUUUAAAACUUACUAAUCGUCUCAGGCUUUCUCGGCCGAUUUUCAACAUCGUAGACUGCAGCUUUAACAAAAGGUUAGCAUUACCACACAUACCCGUUCUGGUGUGAGUCUGUGUCCAAGCUCUCUUCCUACCUAUGAUGCAUAUGCACGUGUUCUGUAGUAACAGCAACCGUGUAUUCUCUCAUAUUUCUGAAUUUGCAUAAAUUAAAACUACCACUCGUAUUUAAUAUAAAAAAGCGUUCAAAACGCAACAACACCGGUGAGAAGAGCAACAUCAGUACAGCCUCAGUGUAAAUGUAUGAUGAUUUUGUCAGAUGAGGGCGCGUUUUUAGCAGCAGUUAAAGAAAGAGCUGAUUUGAUUAAACAAUUAGUUACUGGGUCGUUGCUAGGAUGUGUUAAGUCACUAUUUUAUAGACAGCAGAACAAAUAAUAUGUAAAAAUAGCAUCCAGUUGUGUUAAAUGCAACAUAAUGGGACAGAUCAAAGAGUAAAACACGAUGCAAUGAUGCCACAUAUAUGCUAAUCGGCGUAUGACGUCAUCACCACCACAGUCUCUAAAAAUCCUGUGGGAAACACUAAAGUAGCAUACUCAAGCCCAAGUCCCUAAUGCUCAAUCAUAAGAGGUAAAUAUUGUAGGCUCCCAAGUAUCUCAAGAUGUUUGUUUUAAUACUAAUUAGUGGUGUAACGGAUCAAUUCCGUACAUAUCACAACCCACGGUUCGGCUCGCAUGCGAUUUGCGGAUUAAUAUACAAAUUUAAAUGGGGUGAAAGUCGAUGAUUUGCCUAUGUCCUUCAAAGAUCAGAUCUCUUGAUGUAUCAACUUGAGAGAGAGUUGCACUACUGUGUCUCAUACUGUAGUCCAUUAAAAUACAUCUGGCGAAUAAAGCACCGAAAAACAACGUAAUUUUCACUUUAUGUGGAGCGACUGUUUAUGCUGCAUCUUCUUCCCAAAGCGACAUUUGGCAUUUGUCCUCCGUCUGUGUGUGUGUGCGUGUUUAAGUGCACUCAACAAAUGUAGGCAUGUCAGAAUUACAGUUAUGCCGCUUACAUAAUGUAGCCUUUUUUAAUGUUUGAUGACAAGAUAGAGACUUAAGGAAAAUUAUGUAGACUAAUAAUUUAAAUUAAAUGUCCUAAUGAUCAGCCUACUUAUUUAGUCCCACAGCUGACAUGGAACGUUAUUAACCGGUUCGGUAACUUUAUUUUUUUUGUUCUAACCGGUUCAGGAAUGUCAACUUUAGGGUUGAACCGAAAACCGGAAACGUUAAAAUACUGUUUCUGUUCGGAACGAACCAAUUGGGAAAAAAUUCUGGUUCAAAGCCCUGGUGCUGGGUGCCUGAUGUUUACAUACCAGUAGAUGUGACUUACGUUACUAUGAAGGUAAAUUAGUUGCAAAACUUGACAGCUUGUAAAUUUUUAUGUGAGAACUUGCAAAAAAAUAUUUGUACUUGUAUAUUAAUGUUUAUAGUCACAGUCCCGAUGUGAAGACCUUCAAAAUCUGACGUUGAAUGCUGAGAUGUGCACUCGUGGACAGUAAAGUUUUGAAAAUGUUAAAAUUCUAGAUGAGAGCUGAGUUGUCGUGGCAACCGUGACGCAUCAUCAGUCAACAAAGAGCAGCACCAAACUCUCAACUCUCUCAACUCUUCUCUUUUAUUGUAAAAGGAAGAGACCGGUAUACCUGGAGUAAACCCACGCUGAACAUUCAAACCACACACAGAAAGGCCACCUGACUUAGCCGGAGCUCGAAUCGGGGACCUUUUUGCUGCCCUGUUUGACUCUCAUUAUAAAGUUCUAGAUGAGAGCUGAGUUGCCGUGACAACCGUGACGCAUCAUCAGUCAACAAAGAGCAGCACCAAACUCUCAACUCUCUCAACUCUUCUCUUUUAUUGUAAAAGGUUAGUAAAAAUUAUUACAUUUCAAAGAAAAAACAUUGUAAUUCACACGCUUUAAUGUCAAAGUAAAGUUUUUAUCAAAUAUUUGGUAACACUUUAACAUUAAAAUUAAUAAAUCCA